GUCACUUCUUGCAGCUCAAUUUUUUCGCCUCCUUGCGCCAUGUUAAGCUUCUGCCUGCAAUGCAUUAUGGUCUAUAUUGACCCGUUUAGUGACCAUCGAUGCUCACUACUUUUCAAGAUGCAUUGUGGGUAAUUUUGAGUGCCC
Melanotaenia boesemani (Boeseman's rainbowfish) is the source of this 144-nucleotide long non-coding RNA. RefSeq lists it as uncharacterized. The transcript has 3 exons. Lineage: Eukaryota; Metazoa; Chordata; Actinopteri; Atheriniformes; Melanotaeniidae. The record is from RefSeq and is a predicted model, not a curated record.